GCACAGGCAUAUAUACAGAAACGUGAUGAUAAAUUAACUAUACUCAGUUUUGCAGGAGGAAAGGCUUCUCUUACCAAUGUUUAGUGUGGCUCAGGCAAGGGAUGCUAUGGACUAGUUUCUGCUGGGUGGAUAUUAUCAUGUGUCAUACAGUCUGUAGUUUUUUCCUUCUGUUUGUAGCACUUCUGCUUUACUCACAUAGUUGUUUAUAAACUGUAAGUUAAACAUAUCCAGAUUUCUGAACAGAUGUUGUAGUUCAGCAACACCAGAGAGGAGCUGUGCUCAGGCCUUCUGAAUUUUACUGCAACCACUAGAGAGAUGUGUGACUGAUGGGAGGUCCCAGGGGCCUUUCUUUCAAGUGGACACCCACCUACAGAUUUGCACUUAAAGCAGCAGAACCUGCUAUAUUUUAUAGUUCUGGGCUCUCCUGUGGCCGCCAUCAGAUUAGCGGAGGUUCCCUUCAGCUGUUGACCCUCCUCCUUUGCAAGUCAGAAGCCCUAUGCCACAGGCAGCACAUAGGUGGUGGGAACCGCAGUGGUGGCUGCAGAUAUCUCUGCCCCUUCCUUCAGGGAGACAUCAGGGCUUCCACACACCUGCCUGCUGAACCACUGCUGCUUCUGGCAAAGUAUGACAAGUAACUGCUGAAAAUGUUUAAGGGAUCCUGACUGAAAUUCUGAGUCAAGACUUUGAGAAUCAGUCAAGGUGCCUCACAGUUUUAACUUAGUGCUGCCAGACUGGGAAGAUUAGAGAAACUGUUGAUACAACUGUUUGAUGCAGCAUCACUGUAAGUCCAAGAACUCGAAUUUAACUCACUAUUUAGGCUGUUCAGUACAUUGAUAAAAAGAACUAAAAUGCCAUGCUGUUCUGUUUGACCACAGCCUAGAGAAGCAGAUUCAGGCUAAUACUCACUUUGCAAUUCUUAGAAAUCUGCUUAAUCACAGAGUCACCACGCUCC
This is a long non-coding RNA of Pogoniulus pusillus (Red-fronted tinkerbird), 952 nucleotides long. RefSeq lists it as uncharacterized. The record is from RefSeq and is a predicted model, not a curated record. Lineage: Eukaryota; Metazoa; Chordata; Aves; Piciformes; Lybiidae. The transcript is spliced from 4 exons.